RNAcentral lists this unclassified non-coding RNA (200 nucleotides) under Fusarium sp. RNAcentral's name for it is "partial internal transcribed spacer 2". Lineage: Eukaryota; Fungi; Ascomycota; Sordariomycetes; Hypocreales; Nectriaceae. The record is from RNAcentral.
UUAAGUUCAGCGGGUAUUCCUACCUGAUCCGAGGUCAACAUUCAGAAGUUGGGGUUUUACGGCGUGGCCGCGACGAUUACCAGUAACGAGGUGUAUGAUUACUACGCUAUGGAAGCUCGACGUGACCGCCAAUCGAUUUGGGGAACGCGGGUUACCGCGAGUCCCAACACCAAGCUGAGCUUGAGGGUUGAAAUGACGCU